RNAcentral lists this ribosomal RNA (253 nucleotides) under uncultured bacterium. RNAcentral's name for it is "partial 16S ribosomal RNA". It matches the Rfam family "Bacterial small subunit ribosomal RNA", at positions 524 to 776 of the family's 1533-position model. The record is from RNAcentral.
UACGGGGGGUGCAAGCGUUGUUCGGAAUUAUUGGGCGUAAAGAGCGUGUAGGCGGUUUGUUAAGUCUGAUGUGAAAGCCCUGGGCUCAACCCAGGAAGUGCAUUGGAAACUGGCAGACUUGAAUACGGGAGAGGGCAGUGGAAUUCCUAGUGUAGGAGUGAAAUCCGUAGAUAUUAGGAGGAACACCGGUGGCGAAGGCGGCGACCUGGUCCGAUACUGACGCUGAGGCGCGAAAGCGUGGGGAGCAAACAGG